Molecule: ribosomal RNA, 123 nt
Filed under: Bacillus subtilis subsp. subtilis
Lineage: Bacteria; Bacillati; Bacillota; Bacilli; Caryophanales; Bacillaceae
Description: partial 16S ribosomal RNA
Rfam family: Bacterial small subunit ribosomal RNA
Source: RNAcentral
UUUAUCGGAGAGUUUGAUCCUGGCUCAGGACGAACGCUGGCGGCGUGCCUAAUACAUGCAAGUCGAGCGGACAGAUGGGAGCUUGCUCCCUGAUGUUAGCGGCGGACGGGUGAGUAACACGUG